UAAAAAAAAUUCUAAAUUUUGAAAAAUAUUAUUUCGGAAUUAUUUUUACUAGAGAUUAAGCAUAAAGUGAAUUUUUUGUAAAAAAAGCAAAGUGACAAAAAAAAACAAAAUCAUAAGAAAAAAUUAAAUGGCUCAGGCAAUUCUCCUAUGGGGCUUCGUCCUUCGUCCUCCUUCCGUUUCGUCCUCCUUGCGUUCGUCUGGCACGGUCGUUGAGUAAGGAAACCCAUCCAACAGAUACAAAAAAAAAACAAAAAGGCGACUGAUUGAUCCUCCUGGAGACCUCGUCUUUUGACAACCAAUUAACCAAUCCAAGACAAAAACACGGUGUAUGUUUGCGGCAAUGAUGAAUGAAUCCGUUUAUUAUAUUUUGAUACUAUGAGCUGUGGGAGCUGAAACUUUAUAUUUUGAUA
This 410-nucleotide small RNA is filed under the name Drosophila pseudoobscura pseudoobscura. RNAcentral describes it as "GA31258". Lineage: Eukaryota; Metazoa; Arthropoda; Insecta; Diptera; Drosophilidae. The record is from RNAcentral.